This 88-nucleotide transfer RNA is filed under the name Apiosordaria backusii. It matches the Rfam family "tRNA". Rfam says of the family: Transfer RNA (tRNA) molecules are approximately 80 nucleotides in length. Their secondary structure includes four short double-helical elements and three loops (D, anti-codon, and T loops). Further hydrogen bonds mediate the characteristic L-shaped molecular structure. tRNAs have two regions of fundamental functional importance: the anti-codon, which is responsible for specific mRNA codon recognition, and the 3' end, to which the tRNAs corresponding amino acid is attached (by aminoacyl-tRNA synthetases). tRNAs cope with the degeneracy of the genetic code in two manners: having more than one tRNA (with a specific anti-codon) for a particular amino acid; and 'wobble' base-pairing, i.e. permitting non-standard base-pairing at the 3rd anti-codon position. The record is from Rfam by way of RNAcentral. Lineage: Eukaryota; Fungi; Ascomycota; Sordariomycetes; Sordariales; Lasiosphaeriaceae.
GCCCGGCUAGCUCAAUCGGUAGAGCGUGAGACUCUUAAGGAGGUCCUCCGUCAUCUCAAGGUUGUGGAUUCGACCCCCACGUCGGGCU